RNAcentral lists this small RNA (283 nucleotides) under Noviherbaspirillum sp. Root189. RNAcentral's name for it is "5' ureB small RNA". It matches the Rfam family "5' ureB small RNA". The record is from Rfam by way of RNAcentral. Lineage: Bacteria; Pseudomonadati; Pseudomonadota; Betaproteobacteria; Burkholderiales; Oxalobacteraceae.
CUUCUUCGAUCUGUUGGGGACAGAUAAAGUGAAUGUGCGAAUCGAUGCCGCCCGCUGUCACGAUCAUGCCUUCGCCGGCAAUGAUUUCCGUGGCGCCGCCAAUGGCCAUGGUGACGUCCGGCUGAAUAUCGGGAUUGCCAGCCUUGCCGAUGCCGGCGAUGCGUCCGCUUUUCAAUCCAAUGUCGGCCUUGACAAUGCCCCAAUGGUCGACGAUCAGCGCAUUGGUAAUCACGGUGUCCAUCACAUCCUUGUGAUUGCGCUGCGACUGGCCCAUGCCGUCACG